This 428-nucleotide ribosomal RNA is filed under the name uncultured bacterium. Its description in RNAcentral is "bacterial SSU rRNA". It matches the Rfam family "Bacterial small subunit ribosomal RNA", at positions 355 to 776 of the family's 1533-position model. The record is from RNAcentral.
UCGAGAAUUUUUCACAAUGGGCGAAAGCCUGAUGGAGCGACGCCGCGUGGGGGAUGAAUGGCUUCGGUCCGUAAACCCCUGUCAUUUGCGAGCAAACCUUUGGACCUAACACGUUCAAAGCUGAUAGUAGCGAAAGAGGAAGGGACGGCUAACUCUGUGCCAGCAGCCGCGGUAAUACAGAGGUCCCAAGCGUUGUUCGGAUUCACUGGGCGUAAAGGGUGCGUAGGUGGCGGAGGAAGUUCGAUGUGAAAUCCCCGGGCUCAACCCGGGAACUGCAUUGAAAACUCUUUCGCUUGAGGGUCGGAGGGGAGACUGGAAUUCUUGGUGUAGCAGUGAAAUGCGUAGAUAUCAAGAGGAACACCAGUGGCGAAGGCGAGUCUCUGGACGAUACCUGACACUGAGGCACGAAAGCUAGGGGAGCAAACAGG